GUCGAUCGGCGCCGCCGGACAGCGAGGCCACGAGAGCGCGCGUAGUCCGCCCCGCCCUUAUAAACCCGGCCGCCGCGCGCGUGCCCGCCCGCGUUCGCCCUUGAUUGGCCGAUGGACUCUAGGGCUCGCCUCCGCCGCACUCGGAUUGGAUGUCCACACUAGCCCCGGCCCCCGAUUCAGAAUAGCUACGGAGGCCACCUUCGCCCUCUCCCGGGAUUGGCCGAGGAGCUCGCGCUCGCGCUCUUCCCCAGCCUCUCAUUGGCUUCCGGCGAAGAACUUUCUCUGCCUCGACUUGUAACUGGUGGCUUUCUCCCACACUUUCUGCAGGUCAGGAAUGGCUGCCACCUUCGGAGGCCCGAGCUCUGCGGCUCCUGAUUGGCCAAGUGAUGCGCGCACCCCGCGCAAUCCUUCGUCGAACGUGGCAGUGGGGAGGAGUCCCCAGCCGAGGGGCGGAGCUGCGUCUGCGCCUCCGAAACCCCUCGUGUUGCAUUCUGACUGGACCGCGUACCCGUAGCUGGCACCGCCCUCCCGGCUCGCGGGGCGGAAUCUGGGCUGACGCAACUUCCGGCGCGCGUGAGGGGACUCCAACUAGAAUAUGAACACCUGAAGGUCAUGACCAGGUUCUCCGUGUGCCUCCCUCACUUCCAGUAGAGCAAGGGUCAAUCAGAGGUGGUGGUACCUGCUGGGACACCUGUCUGCUUCAUUGGGGUGACUUUACAGGAGCUGGGACUUGCUGCAUAGAAAGGCUGCAAACGUGCCUCAGCAGGUGCCCACUUCCUCCCCAACGCAGUGGGGCCCUGGCCUGGGUGCUCGCUCUUCAUAACUGGUAAUUGCAGGUACAAUCCCUUCUGCUCUCUGAGGACAGGGGGUUGCCUCAUGUCUACUGCCCUAACCCCCACCGUUUAUAGUUACCGUGACCCUGUUCUAUAGACCAUCAUUUGGGACCUGAGACAAGGGACAUUUGUACCCCAUCUAGACUUCAGAGGAGCUCAUGAGCUCAGAGUUCAGAUGCCUAAGUAUUGGGGCUUGAGCUGUUUUGGCUGAUGGGGACAGAGUGAAGGGAUUUGUGACACGUGCUGCUGAUUAGUUUGUGAUGGUUUGGAGGCAGUGUAGCCCCAGAGCACAGAGUAUUUACAAAGAUGAGAACAUGGGGACCAAGGGGAGAGCAGACCAGUCGGGGACCCAAGCUGCUGGCUGUGGUUGAGCCUCACUGUGGUUGCAUCUGGGCCUCCAUGGCCAGAUGCUGAGGGCAGUUGUCAUGCCCCAAUGCAGACGCCGACAAGCCCCUGUUCUGCAGCCCAGGUGGCCACAGCCAAGUCAUUCUGUGAAAACCAGGGCCUGAGCAGGGCUGGAGCUUGGAGGGGUCACGGCAUUUUGACGCCUUGGCUGUACUGAUGUGCCUUCUCCUCAAGGCCGCUCUGCCCAUCUUGAAAUGACCUCGCACACUGACCAUGCGGAAGCAGCAAAGCUGGAGGGAGGCCUGGCUUGGGGGUUGGCCUGAGAACCCAUCUCUCAGGUUGGUCAGAAGCUGGGUGAGGGAGGUUGUAGGGGUGCAUCCAGCCCCCCACAACUCAGGCCGGGUUCACUGAACACCUCUGCAGCUUCAGCCCUCGGGGAGGGGCUGGUGUUUAUUCCUGUGCCCCGGGCCUGAUUUGGAGUUUCCCUUGGAGGUCAGGGCCGCCCACCCUUUUGGCUGUGACAUCUGGAUCCACACAGCUGUUUCAGGACGUCGUCCAGGAGUCUCUCAUGCUCGGAGAAGGUGCCCAUUAAGCAUUGGUUGAGCUACUGAUUAAAUGUUUCUGAUAAAUACUAUUCUCAAAAAUACAGUUCUCAAAGGGAGCGGCCGGAUAGCUCAGUUGGUUAGAGCGCGGUGCCCUUAACAAGGUCGCUGGUUUGAUCCCUACAUAGGCCAUUUGAGCUGCGCCCUCCCCAACUAGAUUGAAACAACUACUUGACUUGGAGCUGAUGGGUCCUGGAAAAACAAAUAGAUAAGGUUUAAAAAUAAAGAGUCCCCAGAAUAAAACAGCUCCCUUCCCACCUGGGUUGGAGGUGUUGAGGGGUGAACAGCGACUCGUGGACACCUGGGAAGUGCUCAUGUGGCCGCUGAAGGCCAACUCCUGACUGCAGGUCCCCACUGCCGAGCAGCAGGGGGGAUA
This 2156-nucleotide long non-coding RNA is filed under the name Rhinolophus ferrumequinum (greater horseshoe bat). RNAcentral's name for it is "lncRNA (ENSRFEG00010005477.1)". Lineage: Eukaryota; Metazoa; Chordata; Mammalia; Chiroptera; Rhinolophidae. The record is from RNAcentral.